This 490-nucleotide ribosomal RNA is filed under the name uncultured bacterium. RNAcentral describes it as "partial 16S ribosomal RNA". It matches the Rfam family "Bacterial small subunit ribosomal RNA", at positions 30 to 507 of the family's 1533-position model. The record is from RNAcentral.
AUUGAACGCUGGCGGCAGGCCUAACACAUGCAAGUCGAACGGUAACAGGAAGCAGCUUGCUGCUUCGCUGACGAGUGGCGGACGGGUGAGUAAUGUCUGGGAAACUGCCUGAUGGAGGGGGAUAACUACUGGAAACGGUAGCUAAUACCGCAUAACGUCGCAAGACCAAAGAGGGGGACCUUAGGGCCUCUUGCCAUCGGAUGUGCCCAGAUGGGAUUAGCUAGUAGGUGGGGUAACGGCUCACCUAGGCGGCGAUCCCUAGCUGGUCUGAGAGGAUGACCAGCCACACUGGAACUGAGACACGGUCCAGACUCCUACGGGAGGCAGCAGUGGGGAAUAUUGCACAAUGGGCGCAAGCCUGAUGCAGCCAUGCCGCGUGUAUGAAGAAGGCCUUCGGGUUGUAAAGUACUUUCAGCGGGGAGGAAGGGAGUAAAGUUAAUACCUUUGCUCAUUGACGUUACCCGCAGAAGAAGCACCGGCUAACUCCGUG